CUUUUUGUUCCCCGAGCUUCGCUCCACCGGAAAAAGAGGAGUGGCGAACGGGUGAUUAACACGCUGGGUAACCUGCCCAUCAUAAGGGGAUAACACUUGGAAACAGGUGCUAAUACCGUAUAACAAUCGAAACCGCAAGGUUUUGAUUUGAAAGGCGCUUUCGGGUGUCGCUGAUGGAUGGACCCGCGGUGCAUUAGCUAGUUGGUGAGGUAACGGCUCACCAAGGCGACGAUGCAUAGCCGACCUGAUAGGGUGAUCGGCCACAUUGGAACUGAAACACGGCCCAAACUCCUACGGGAGGCAGCAUGAGGGAAUCUUCGGCAAUGGACGAAAGUCUGACCGAGCAACGCCGCGUGAGUGAAGAAGGUUUUCGGAUCGUAAAACUCUGUUGGUAGAGAAGAACAAGGAUGAGAGUAACUGUUCAUCCCUUGACGGUAUCUAACCAGAAAGCCACGGCUAACUACGUGCCAGCAGCCGCGGUAAUACGUAGGUGGCAAGCGUUGUCCGGAUUUAUUGGGCGUAAAGCGAGCGCAGGCGGUUUCUUAAGUCUGAUGUGAAAGCCCCCGGCUCAACCGGGGAGGGUCAUUGGAAACUGGGAGACUUGAGUGCACAAGAGGAGAGUGGAAUUCCAUGUGUAGCGGUGAAAUGCGUAGAUAUAUGGAGGAACACCACUGGCGAAGGCGGCUCUCUGGUCUGUAACUGACGCUGAGGCUCGAAAGCGUGGGGAGCAAACAGGAUUAGAUACCCUGGUAGUCCACGCCGUAAACGAUGACUGCUAAGUGUUGGAGGGUUUCCGCCCUUCAGUGCUGCAGCUAACGCAUUAAGCACUCCGCCUGGGGAGUACGACCGCAAGGUUGAAACUCAAAGGAAUUGACGGGGGCCCCGCACAAGCGGUGGAGCAUGUGGUUUAAUUCGAAGCAACGCGAAGAACCUUACCAGGUCUUGACAUCCUUUGACCACUCUAGAGAUAGAGCUUCCCCUUCGGGGGCAAAGUGACAGGUGGUGCAUGGUUGUCGUCAGCUCGUGUCGUGAGAUGUUGGGUUAAGUCCCGCAACGAGCGCAACCCUUAUUGUUAGUUGCCAUCAUUUAGUUGGGCACUCUAGCAAGACUGCCGGUGACAAACCGGAGGAAGGUGGGGAUGACGUCAAAUCAUCAUGCCCCUUAUGACCUGGGCUACACACGUGCUACAAUGGGAAGUACAACGAGUCGCAAAGUCGCGAGGUCUAAGCUAAUCCUCUUAAAGCUUCUUUUCUAGUUCGGGAUUGUAGGUCUGCAAACUUUUGGCACUUG
RNAcentral lists this ribosomal RNA (1290 nucleotides) under Enterococcus sp. enrichment culture clone PTmrs3. RNAcentral describes it as "bacterial SSU rRNA". It matches the Rfam family "Bacterial small subunit ribosomal RNA", at positions 69 to 1324 of the family's 1533-position model. The record is from RNAcentral. Lineage: Bacteria; Bacillati; Bacillota; Bacilli; Lactobacillales; Enterococcaceae.